UUAUUCACUAGUUUGUUCAUUUUAAUUCUUGUGCUUCCUUAGGUUCGUUCGUAUGAAGAGCAAUGGACGGAAGAGGAAUUUGAGAAAAUGUGCCUUGCUGAGUCUCCCCAAUCACCUAGUCUAAAGGAAGAAAUUCAAGAAAAGAAUUCCCCUUCAGCCUCUGGCACUUGUCCUGACCCUGUAGUUGCCAAUAGUGAAAUACAAACCCCAGCACCGUAUCAGCCUCCUCUCCAGCAGCCUGUGCAAGAACUUUCUCAACAGCCUGUGCAAGAACUUCCCCAACAACAUGUUGGACCCAUAGUUCAACAAAGCCCUGUGACUGUGACUCCGUCAUCUAAACGGGGCCGGGGAAGACCAAGGAGGACAGCAAUAGUGACUGAAAUUUCACCGUCCCCUGUCGUUAUUUCAGCAAUUGCAGCUAGUGUAAAGGUGGAUAGCAAUACCAUUGCAGAAAAUACUUCUACUAGUCAGGCAACUUCUGGGCCUGUUUCUGUGUCUUUUCCUUGUGCUUCUUCCGUAGAAAGUACCAGCGCAACCAUCCUACAGAAUGUAACUGGUGUUGCUCCCAGCCAUCAGUCAAGUGUACCUUCUGUUGCUGUUGUUUCUCAGUCUGGUCCUCCUUGCCCUCCUACAAGUGGACAGGGAAGGGGCCGAGGUAGAGGCCGAGGCCGAGGUCGAGGUCGAAAGCCUCAAACUGGAGGAGAAGCUCCAGGGCGUAGAGGAAAACAACAGAAUGUUACAGCAGAGGCUUUCCCCACCCCUCCAACUCAAGCAGUAAGUGAGCCUGUCUCUGCAGUGCAAGGUGUGAAUGAUAUGAGUUCUACUCACCAUAUGCCCCCAACACCUCCUGCAGUGGGUGAGCCUGAUCUGGUGCCACAGGUGGUGGCAGGUUUGGGUUCAAAAAACCUUGGUCAUGCUCCUGUUUCCAUGAGAGAUGCUAGUAAGGAACUGAAUUCGGUUGUGCCUCUUGCAGCAUCUUCCUCUAGCAAAGAAUUAACCCCUGUUUCGACUGUUUCUGUUAUUCCAUCAUCUGCUGCCAGUCAGGACCCUAGUUCAAUUUCACCUCCAGGUGUCCUUCAAUCAUCCUCCAGAAACCAUUCAGACCAUCUUUCCCUCUCUGCUGCCCAGACCGAAGCUACUCUGCAGGUGAAUUCAAUUUCAGUAGUUCCUCAUAGUUCACCUUCAGCUGGCAAGGAAACGAGUUCUGUGUCACCUGUUCCUCUUCAGUCAUUAACUUCAAAGGACUCCAAUUCAGUUGUACCUACUGUUGUUCCUGCAUCAUCGUCUGCUUGCGUGGAACUAAGUUCAGUUUGCCCUCUUCCUGCUGUUGCACCCUCUCCCAGCAUAGGUACAAAUACAUCUGCACUUACUCCUCUUCUUUUAGCAUCUAAUGCAG
Molecule: long non-coding RNA, 1396 nt
Filed under: Solanum tuberosum (potato)
Lineage: Eukaryota; Viridiplantae; Streptophyta; Magnoliopsida; Solanales; Solanaceae
Description: long non-coding RNA (STUB_LNC010873)
Source: RNAcentral